UUUGAGAGACGAUAGCUUCUCUUCACUUCCGGUUUGCUCUUUCUGCUUCCGGCUUCUAACUGAAGACGUGAGCUCUUGGCUUCCUGCUUCGGCCACCGUAACACAAUGCACUCUGUCCCUCUGGAGCUGUAAGCCCAGAAUCAACCCUCUGGUUUUAUCAUAGCAGGAAGCAAUUGACACAGGAUCCCGGAGUCUAACAACACGGGAAGCCACCAACCCUAAGUCAGCGGCUUUGAGAAAAAAGGAAGAUGCAGAUGACGCUCUCCGCCGCCAUCAAUCACGGCGCCCAUUGAACCCGGAGCCAGGAGGCUGACAGACCAGGUGAUGGUGGGCUGUUACACACAUUUGAUACCCAGGCACUGGUGGAGCACAGAAGAAGCUCGGUGUCCCCAAACAGUACACACCACCGUGUCAGCCCAGGACGCUCUUGAAGCGUGGGAGGGAAGCCAUCCACUGAGAGUUCACGUCUUUGCAGUACGUGGUGCUUAGAGUCAUGUCAGCAGAGGGAUAAAGUCAGAAGGAAGAGGACCUGGAAGAGAGCUUCAAAGAGCCCAACACAUGCUGCUGAUUGAUUUACCCCAUGCGGCUGCAGAUUCCUUUGCUGAUAUCAGAACCCCCAUUUCCAGGCUUCCCUCACGGAGGAGUCCAGGAACUAAGCACCUGGUAGCCCUUUGGAGGUCACCACCAAGCCUCAAUAUCUGUAAAUGGCAGUUGGUGAGCCAGGUCAGGAGG
Molecule: long non-coding RNA, 732 nt
Organism: Peromyscus leucopus (white-footed mouse)
Lineage: Eukaryota; Metazoa; Chordata; Mammalia; Rodentia; Cricetidae
Exons: 4
Source: RefSeq, a predicted model, not a curated record